CGGAUAAUGAGGCCCGAAUAUGUGUGACGAAACCUUGUCCAGUUGUAAUCGAUUCCCGGACGACUGCUUUUAUGGUCACUGCUGGGGUGAUUGUACUUGCAGUGUUGGUUAUUGUUUGGAUUUUCUUGAGACGAAAUCACAAAGAAAGCCACUCAUCGUAUAGUGCUGUGACAGAAAUUACAGAUAUCCGCGCUUCUCGGCAAUCUCAA
Long non-coding RNA from Dendronephthya gigantea, 209 nucleotides. RefSeq lists it as uncharacterized. Lineage: Eukaryota; Metazoa; Cnidaria; Anthozoa; Malacalcyonacea; Nephtheidae. The transcript is spliced from 3 exons. The record is from RefSeq and is a predicted model, not a curated record.